RNAcentral lists this ribosomal RNA (254 nucleotides) under uncultured bacterium. RNAcentral's name for it is "partial 16S ribosomal RNA". It matches the Rfam family "Bacterial small subunit ribosomal RNA", at positions 524 to 776 of the family's 1533-position model. The record is from RNAcentral.
UACGUAGGGACCAAGCGUUGUUCGGAUUUACUGGGCGUAAAGGGCGCGUAGGCGGCCACCGCAAGUCGACUGUGAAAUCUCCGGGCUUAACCCGGAACGGUCAGCCGAUACUGCGGGGCUAGAGUGCAGAAGGGGCAACUGGAAUUCUCGGUGUAGCGGUGAAAUGCGUAGAUAUCGAGAGGAACACCUGCGGCGAAGGCGGGUUGCUGGGCUGACACUGACGCUGAGGCGCGAAAGCUAGGGGAGCGAACGGG